RNAcentral lists this unclassified non-coding RNA (457 nucleotides) under Hevea brasiliensis (rubber tree). The record is from RNAcentral. Lineage: Eukaryota; Viridiplantae; Streptophyta; Magnoliopsida; Malpighiales; Euphorbiaceae.
GAAGCUUUGUGCACAGGCUAUUGUACAGGAUUAUGAGUUGCUUGUUGCUCGGGAGCAAGGAAAGUUGGUGGAGGCAACUAUUAGUUGACAAUUUUAACACCCAUAGAAUUGGAGGAUAACUUUUGCUACUUACUGAAUCNNNNNNNNNNNNNGAUUGUUAGUCACAAAAAUAUUCCAAAAGUUGUUCAUAUAUAUGCUACAGUUUGUAAAGCGCAUAAAAUGUCUAUCUUCUCUCGGUGAAAGCAUUUGGGUUCCCUCAUGAUAUCUGUGUCGCAUCAUUUGCGGUCAAGUGCACAGGAUUGGCUUAUACGAGAUCUCUGGAAGCACAUGUAGAGGAUAGAGGUGCUACUACUAAUAGAUGUUCUAUUGUUGGAAGAAAAUAGCAAAAAUGUAACCAUAAUGAAAAUCUGUUAAAUGGAUCCAUCAACAUGGAAUACAUUCCUAGUUUCCAUUUUCC